Molecule: transfer RNA, 67 nt
Filed under: Hoplopleura sp.
Lineage: Eukaryota; Metazoa; Arthropoda; Insecta; Psocodea; Hoplopleuridae
Description: tRNA-Leu
Source: RNAcentral
GCUGGACUGGCAGAAAGUAAGUGCGAUAAGUUUAGGUCUUAUACAAUGGGUACAAACCCGUCCAGCA